This 76-nucleotide transfer RNA is filed under the name Synergistales bacterium. RNAcentral's name for it is "tRNA-Arg". It matches the Rfam family "tRNA". From Rfam's summary of the family: Transfer RNA (tRNA) molecules are approximately 80 nucleotides in length. Their secondary structure includes four short double-helical elements and three loops (D, anti-codon, and T loops). The record is from RNAcentral. Lineage: Bacteria; Thermotogati; Synergistota; Synergistia; Synergistales.
GGGCCUGUAGCUCAGGGGAUAGAGCGGCCGCCUCCUAAGCGGCAGGUCGGGGGUUCGAAUCCCUUCAGGCCCGCCA